AUUUAAUUGAAACCCCAAAACUCACACUAAUUAAAUUAGAACAAAAGAGUCUCUUUCGCCUUCUACUUCGCUCCCAUUAUUAACAAUGAAAGUGCACACAACAAUCCCAUAAUCUCACUAUCUAUCCAUUUAUCUUUCUGGGUUAUCGUUAAUUAGCCAUGUCAGGCUCUUCAGAGAACUCAUGCAGCACCAGCUCUGCAUACGUGACGAGGAGACGAGUGAUAGAGUCGAUAGAAUCACAAGAUGGAGGAUCGUCAGGAACCACGUGCGUGCGAAACCAGGGAACGUUCUUGCAUAAGAAGGCUCAUCAAUACUUGCCGGAACUGUUGCGGCCGGGGAAGAUUCUGGGACGAUGGAUGUUUGUGAGCUUG
RNAcentral lists this unclassified non-coding RNA (371 nucleotides) under Hevea brasiliensis (rubber tree). The record is from RNAcentral. Lineage: Eukaryota; Viridiplantae; Streptophyta; Magnoliopsida; Malpighiales; Euphorbiaceae.